This is a long non-coding RNA of Camellia sinensis, 692 nucleotides long. RefSeq lists it as uncharacterized. The record is from RefSeq and is a predicted model, not a curated record. NCBI's taxonomy places the organism in Eukaryota, Viridiplantae, Streptophyta, Magnoliopsida, Ericales, Theaceae.
GAGAGAAGAGCUUUCGAUCCACCCCUGAUCACCGCUGCCACGCCGCUGCCGUUGCCACGCUGCUGCCGUUGCCACGCUGCUGCCUCGCCAUACUCCAACAGAUUGAAGGAAAAGAGCACAGUUCCCAAUAUCCAGGUGAGGCUGUAUAAAUUUAGAGUAUAAUUCGGUGAUAUAAAUCUCUCUCUGGGGCUUUCAGGAAACCAUAUUAUCAUUCAUUCCGGUAAAAAAAUGUCAACAUCAAAUGCAUCUAUGACUGAUAUUAGCGAAAUUCAGUUUAGUAAUCGGAAAUGUCGUUGCGGGGUGAGAGCAGCAUUCAGGAUUUCAGAGUCAGUAGACAAUCCGGGGAUGUUAUACUUUGCUUGCUCUUCAAACAACACCAAUGGAUGCGGCUUCUUUCAGUGGUGGAUGCCUGUAGCUAAGUAGCGUCAAUGGUUGAAGAUGAUAAGGGAGGAAAGCGACGGCAAUUGUAAUAUCAACCCUUUGGUCAACGAAGUUAUUGUAUCCAAUGAUGAGCUGAAAGAGAUAGUUACAAAGCUUACGAAAGAAAGUAAACAAAUGGUCGUAGAGAUUACACAACUUCAGAAAAAGUUGCACUACGCCAUUGUAAUAAUGUUAUUUGGAUUUGGACUUCUUUUGUUGUUUAAAAAUUAAGUGUAAUUUAAAUUCGGAUUUGAACUUCGCCUUUUGUGAAC